Molecule: ribosomal RNA, 484 nt
Filed under: uncultured bacterium
Lineage: Bacteria
Description: partial 16S ribosomal RNA
Rfam family: Bacterial small subunit ribosomal RNA
Source: RNAcentral
GACGAACGCUGGCGGCGUGCUUAACACAUGCAAGUCGAACGAUGAACCCGGAGCUUGCUCCGGCGGAUUAGUGGCGAACGGGUGAGUAACACGUGAGUAACCUGCCCUUGACUCUGGGAUAACUGCGGGAAGCUGUAGCUAAUACCGGAUACGACCCUCGGCGGCAUCGCCAGGGGGUGGAAAGAAUUUCGGUCAAGGAUGGACUCGCGGCCUAUCAGCUAGUUGGUGGGGUAACGGCUCACCAAGGCGACGACGGGUAGCCGGCCUGAGAGGGUGACCGGCCACACUGGGACUGAGACACGGCCCAGACUCCUACGGGAGGCAGCAGUGGGGAAUAUUGUAUAAUGGGCGCAAGCCUGAUGCAGCAACGCCGCGUGAGGGAUGACGGCCUUCGGGUUGUAAACCUCUUUUAGUAGGGAAGAAGCGAAAGUGACGGUACCUGCAGAAAAAGCACCGGCUAACUACGUGCCAGCCGCCGCAGUAA